RNAcentral lists this ribosomal RNA (253 nucleotides) under uncultured bacterium. RNAcentral describes it as "partial 16S ribosomal RNA". It matches the Rfam family "Bacterial small subunit ribosomal RNA", at positions 524 to 776 of the family's 1533-position model. The record is from RNAcentral.
UACAGAGGUCUCAAGCGUUGUUCGGAUUCAUUGGGCGUAAAGGGUGUGUAGGUGGCGCCGUAAGUCGGGUGUGAAAUUUCGGAGCUUAACUCCGAAACUGCAUUUGAUACUGCCUUGCUUGAGGACUGGAGAGGAGACUGGAAUUCACGGUGUAGCAGUGAAAUGCGUAGAUAUCGUGAGGAAGACCAGUGGCGAAGGCGGGUCUCUGGACAGUUCCUGACACUGAGGCACGAAGGCCAGGGGAGCAAACGGG